This 374-nucleotide unclassified non-coding RNA is filed under the name soil metagenome. Its description in RNAcentral is "partial contains internal transcribed spacer 2 and large subunit ribosomal RNA". The stretch from base 1 to 120 matches the Rfam family "5.8S ribosomal RNA", at positions 35 to 154 of the family's 154-position model. The record is from RNAcentral.
GAUGAAGAACGCAGCGAAAUGCGAUAAUUAAUGUGAAUUGCAGAAUUCCGUGAAUCAUCGAGUCUUUGAACGCACAUUGCGCCUCAUGGCAUUCCGUGAGGCAUGCCCAUCUCAGCGUUAGAAAAUAUUCUCAAAUUUUAGUUUUGUGCUAAAAUUUGGAUCAUGUCAAAGAAGCUAUUACUAUUAUUGCGAUCGCUCUUUGGAAAUUGAUAGGUCUUUGAGUUGCUACUCAUAGAACGUGAUGAAUCUUUCUUCGUUCUAUUGUAAUUCACUCUGGUAGUCCUAAAACUUGUAUGCCUGUGGCAUAUCUUGUAAUUUGACCUGAGAUUGGGUAGGGAUACCCGCUGAACUUAAGCAUAUCAAUAAGCGGAGGA